AAUGAACGCUGGCGGCGUGCCUAAUACAUGCAAGUCGAGCGAACAGACGAGGAGCUUGCUCCUCUGACGUUAGCGGCGGACGGGUGAGUAACACGUGGAUAACCUACCUAUAAGACUGGGAUAACUUCGGGAAACCGGAGCUAAUACCGGAUAAUAUAUUGAACCGCAUGGUUCAAUAGUGAAAGACGGUUUUGCUGUCACUUAUAGAUGGAUCCGCGCCGCAUUAGCUAGUUGGUAAGGUAACGGCUUACCAAGGCGACGAUGCGUAGCCGACCUGAGAGGGUGAUCGGCCACACUGGAACUGAGACACGGUCCAGACUCCUACGGGAGGCAGCAGUAGGGAAUCUUCCGCAAUGGGCGAAAGCCUGACGGAGCAACGCCGCGUGAGUGAUGAAGGUCUUCGGAUCGUAAAACUCUGUUAUUAGGGAAGAACAAAUGUGUAAGUAACUAUGCACGUCUUGACGGUACCUAAUCAGAAAGCCACGGCUAACUACGUG
This 497-nucleotide ribosomal RNA is filed under the name uncultured bacterium. RNAcentral's name for it is "partial 16S ribosomal RNA". It matches the Rfam family "Bacterial small subunit ribosomal RNA", at positions 29 to 507 of the family's 1533-position model. The record is from RNAcentral.